This 165-nucleotide ribosomal RNA is filed under the name Enterococcus faecium. RNAcentral's name for it is "partial 16S ribosomal RNA". It matches the Rfam family "Bacterial small subunit ribosomal RNA", at positions 1378 to 1533 of the family's 1533-position model. The record is from RNAcentral. Lineage: Bacteria; Bacillati; Bacillota; Bacilli; Lactobacillales; Enterococcaceae.
GCCUUGUACACACCGCCCGUCACACCACGAGAGUUUGUAACACCCGAAGUCGGUGAGGUAACCUUUUUGGAGCCAGCCGCCUAAGGUGGGAUAGAUGAUUGGGGUGAAGUCGUAACAAGGUAGCCGUAUCGGAAGGUGCGGCUGGAUCACCUCCUUUCUAAGGAA